This 433-nucleotide ribosomal RNA is filed under the name uncultured bacterium. Its description in RNAcentral is "partial 16S ribosomal RNA". It matches the Rfam family "Bacterial small subunit ribosomal RNA", at positions 29 to 507 of the family's 1533-position model. The record is from RNAcentral.
AACGAACGCUGGCGGCAUGCCUAACACAUGCAAGUCGAACGAGACCUUCGGGUCUAGUGGCGCACGGGUGCGUAACGCGUGGGAACCUGCCCUUAGGUUCGGAAUAACUCCCCGAAAGGGGUGCUAAUACCGGAUAAUGUCUUCGGACCAAAGAUUUAUCGCCUUUGGAUGGGCCCGCGUUGGAUUAGCUAGUUGGUAGGGUAAAAGCCUACCAAGGCUACGAUCCAUAGCUGGUCUGAGAGGAUGAUCAGCGACACUGGGAGUGAGACACGGCCGAGACUCCUACGGGAGGCAGCAGUGGGGGAUAUUGGAAAAUGGGCGAAAGCCUGAUCCAGCAAUGCCGCGUGAGUGAUGAAGGCCGUAGGGUUGUAAAGCUCUUUUACCCGGGAUGAUAAUGACAGUACCGGGAGAAUAAGCUCCGGCUAACUCCGUG